Bos taurus (domestic cattle) is the source of this 2016-nucleotide long non-coding RNA. The record is from Ensembl. NCBI's taxonomy places the organism in Eukaryota, Metazoa, Chordata, Mammalia, Artiodactyla, Bovidae.
AACGGCUGUUAAGGGCUCCUUUGGGGCUAUCCUAAAAUAGACAAAACUGAAAUUUGGGGCAAGAGUGAGAUGAAGCCCAAUGACAGGAGAAAGUCAGUGACACGAACAAAAGGAAGAUCAUUGACGUCAUUCACGUCAGUCAUCGGCAAAGUUGGCAAAAGGAGGCCGUAGAGCAAAACCUGUGCAUGGAAGCCCUGGCCUGCUUUAGCGUGGUUUGGAGCAUCCUCAAGGAAAUGGCAACCCACUCCAGUACUCUUGCCUGGAGAAUCCCAUGGACGGAGGAGCCUCGGCGGCUACAGUCCACGGGGUCGCAAAGAGUCGGACACAACUGAGCGACUUCACUCACUCAAGAUUUUUAAUAAGGAUCACAACCGACGGGCAGGCUGGAGGCGGAGAUGCAGGAGCAAACGACAUCAGAAAGGUCAGAGCAGCUCUGUUUGUUUUUCCAAACUGUCAGAGUAAAGUUACAACGUGCCACCUGGGUAAGCCACUAGCAAAGUCCCCGGAUGACGUCCACUGUAACCGCAGGGAUUUCUCACAGUGGGGAUUGCUAGAAGAAGAAUUUGCUUGGGGGAAGGGAGCUGCCAGAAACCAGCCCCAGCGAAGCACCGGGAUGGCUCAAUGCUUGACAUGACAACGGUCUUAUUUUUAAUCCUCAACCAGACCCUCUGAGGUGCCACCUGUGCUGAGACCACCUCCCUCCACCAUUCUGCAACUCCCAGCCUCCUCCGCGCACAGUGACGUCAUUUCCUGGUUUUACUUCUGGAUGGUUCUCCAGUCUGCCUACGGUCACACCAAAACUACGCAGCUCCUUCUGAGCCAGGCAGUGGGCACCCAGCAUGGCAGAGCUCACUUGUGAAGCUGGGUAAGUGCGGUUCACUCCGGAAGUGCCUAGACCCUACUGCACUGCCUUGCGUCUUCAUAUUUCAGGCUUUCAAAUCACCUUGCUGCUGCCACGCAGAUAAAGUGGAAGCCUGUUCUACAUCCUGCAGCAAUUUUCAUGUGGGGAAAUAAUAAUAUAGGACAAAGAAUUAUUGAUGUCACCGUCUAGGUCGUAGCUUGAAUCCAUCUUUCCCUACAGAUACUCUGUUGAUUUAAUUGAAGGGAAGCCCAAAUGAUAAUAAAACAGAUGAUAAUGAACACGCUAGCAAUAGCGAACCUUCCCAGAGUACUUUCUCUAAACCAGACGCUGUGCUUUCAUGACUAAAACCAUGAUCGCAAACUGGGUUACUGUGAACCCAGCUUCCGAAGGAGGUGGAUCCCUCAGUUAGGCCCAUUUUACAAAGAAGGAAAUUGAAACCUGGAGAGGUUAAGGAACCAUCCUGAGAGUCAGAAUACUUCAGGGACCUCCCUGAUGGUGCAGUGGCUGAGACUCCACGCUCCCAGUGCAGGGGACUGGCCUCAACCCCUGGUCAGGGAACUAGAUCCCAUGUGAUGCAACCAAGAGUCCAAGCUGCGACAAAGACCUGGCCCAGCUAAACUAAACAUAUGAAUAUAGGACGAUAUCUAGUGUGCAUGGGUGACGGUGUUAGCUGCUCAGUGGUGUCAGACUCUUUGUGACUUCAUGGACUGCAGCCCGCUAGACUCCUCUGUCCAUGGAAUUCUCCAGGCAAGAAUACUCUAGUGGGUUGCCAUUCCCUUCUCCAGGGAAUCUUCCCCAUCCAGGAAUCGAACCCAGGUCUCCUGCACUGCAGGCAGAUUCUUUUUUUAAAUUUAUUUUUUUAUUGAAGGAUAAUUGCUUUACAGAAUUUUGUUGUUUUCUGUCAAACCUUAACAUGAAUCAGCCAUAGGUAUACAUAUAUCCCCUGCCUUUUGAACCUCCCUCCUGUCCCCCUCCCCGUCCUUCCCCUCUAGGUUGAUACAGAGCCCCUGUUUGAGUUUCCUGAGACAUGCAGCAAAUUCCUGGUGGCUGUCUAUUUCACAUAUGGUGAUGAAAUCAGUGAGUGUGGAAAGCCGCCAAGGAUCCAUCAGCACCAAACAGAGGCUUUCUCCUUAAUGUCAUCUGGCAGAUGGAAG